CAAUAGGUGACUGAAAGCAAGUAAUGGUCUCUUAAACCAAAUAAUAGUAAAUUAGCAAUUACUCCUAUUGG
RNAcentral lists this transfer RNA (71 nucleotides) under Zootermopsis nevadensis. Its description in RNAcentral is "tRNA-Lys". Lineage: Eukaryota; Metazoa; Arthropoda; Insecta; Blattodea; Termopsidae. The record is from RNAcentral.